GACGAACGCUGGCGGCGUGCUUAACACAUGCAAGUCGAACGGAAAGGCCCUGCUUUUGUUGGGUGCUCGAGUGGCGAACGGGUGAGUAACACGUGAGUAACCUGCCCUUGACUUUGUGAUAACUUCAGGAAACUGGGGCUCAUACCGGAUAGGAUCUCCUGCUGCAUGUUGUGGGUUGGAGAGUUUCGGCGGUUGGGGAUGGACUCGCGGCUUAUCAGCUUGUUGGUGUGGUAGUGGCUUACCAAGGCUUUGACGGGUAGCCGGCCUGAGAGGGUGACCGGCCACAUUGGGACUGAGAGACGGCCCAGACGCCUACGGGAGGCAGCAGUGGGGAAUAUUGCACAAUGGGCGGAAGCCUGAUGCAGCAACGCCGCGUGCGGGAUGACGGCCUUCGGGGUGUAAACCGAUUUCGCAUGUGACGAAGAGUGAGUGACGGUAAUGGGUAAAGAAGCAACGGCUAACUACGUG
RNAcentral lists this ribosomal RNA (468 nucleotides) under uncultured bacterium. RNAcentral describes it as "partial 16S ribosomal RNA". It matches the Rfam family "Bacterial small subunit ribosomal RNA", at positions 28 to 507 of the family's 1533-position model. The record is from RNAcentral.